RNAcentral lists this ribosomal RNA (495 nucleotides) under uncultured bacterium. RNAcentral's name for it is "partial 16S ribosomal RNA". It matches the Rfam family "Bacterial small subunit ribosomal RNA", at positions 28 to 523 of the family's 1533-position model. The record is from RNAcentral.
GAUGAACGCUGGCGGCGUGCUUAACACAUGCAAGUCGAACGAAGCACUUGAGACGGAUUCUUCGGAUGAAGUUUCCUGUGACUGAGUGGCGGACGGGUGAGUAACGCGUGGGUAACCUGCCUCAUACAGGGGGAUAACAGUUAGAAAUGGCUGCUAAUACCGCAUAAGCGCACAGCAUCGCAUGAUGCAGUGUGAAAAACUCCGGUGGUAUGAGAUGGACCCGCGUUGGAUUAGCUAGUUGGCAGGGUAACGGCCUACCAAGGCGACGAUCCAUAGCCGGCCUGAGAGGGUGGACGGCCACAUUGGGACUGAGACACGGCCCAGACUCCUACGGGAGGCAGCAGUGGGGAAUAUUGCACAAUGGGGGAAACCCUGAUGCAGCGACGCCGCGUGAGCGAAGAAGUAUUUCGGUAUGUAAAGCUCUAUCAGCAGGUAAGAAAAUGACGGUACCUGACUAAGAAGCCCCGGCUAACUACGUGCCAGCCGCCGCGGUAA